AAUUUAUUUAUUAAUUUAUUUAAAUUAUUAAAAAUAAUUAUAUAAUGUAAUGUUUUAGUAUAUAAUAUAGAAAAAAUAAUAUUAAUUAUAGUUUAAUAGUAUUGUGAAAUAAAAUUGAAAUAUUUGAAAAAUUUUUAUUAUAAAAGUAAAUUUAAUUUAUUGUACCUUGUGUAUCAGGGUUUAUUUAUUAAAAAUUAUUUAUUAUAAUUUUCUCGAUUUUAAAAGAGUUAAUAUAUUAUAAAAGUUAAUGUAACAAAAUUAUUUUUAAUAAUAUAUUAGUAAUGAAAUGUUAUUCGUUUUUAAAGGUAUCUAGUUCUUUAAGAAAUAAAUUUAAUUUAUAAAUUUUAUAUUAUUUAAUUAAGUAAAUUAAUUAAAUAAUUAUUUAAUUUAAAUAUUUUAUGGGAUAAGCUAUAAAAUAAAAUUUUAAAAAUUCAUUAAUUAAUAUAUAAAUAUAAACUUAGAAAUAGUUAUUAUUAAUAAAAAUGUUAUAAUUUAUUUUGUAAUAAUUAAUUAUUUAUUUAAUUUUAAAUUUUUAUUAAAGUAUUUAUUUUAAUUUUAAAAAUAAAAAAAUAAUGAUAUAAUUAGUAUAAAUUAUUAUAUAAAUAAAUUUUUAAGAUAAGUUGUUAUAAAGAAUUCGGCAAAAUAAUGUUCGCCUGUUUAACAAAAACAUGUCUUUUUUUGUUUAUAAAAAGUCUAACCUGCCCACUGAAUAAAUUUUAAUGGCCGCAGUAUUUUAACUGUGCAAAGGUAGCAUAAUCAUUAGUCUUUUAAUUGAAGGCUUGUAUGAAUGGUUGGACGAGAUAUUAACUGUUUCAUCUUAAUUUUUUUUUGAAUUUAAUUUUUUAGUCAAAAAGCUAAAAUUUAUUUAAAAGACGAGAAGACCCUAUAAAUCUUUAUAUUAAAAUUAUUAUUAUUAUUUAGAUUUAUUUUAUAAUAAUAAUUAAUAAUAUUUUAUUGGGGUGAUAUUAAAAUUUAUAAAACUUUUAAUUUUUAUUUUACAUUAAUUUAUGAAUAAAUGAUCCAUUUUUAAUGAUUAAAAAUACAAGUUACUUUAGGGAUAACAGCGUAAUUUUUUUGGAGAGUUCUUAUCAAUAAAAAAGAUUGCGACCUCGAUGUUGGAUUAAGAAAUAAUUUUAGGUGUAGAAGCUUAAAUUUUAAGUCUGUUCGACUUUUAAAUUCUUACAUGAUCUGAGUUCAAACCGGUGUAAGCCAGGUUGGUUUCUAUCUUUAAAAAAUUAAAAUAUUUCAGUACGAAAGGACCUAAUAUUUAAUAAAUUAUUAUUUUUAUAAUUGAAUUAAAUUAAUAUAUA
RNAcentral lists this ribosomal RNA (1310 nucleotides) under Tachina stackelbergi. Its description in RNAcentral is "16S ribosomal RNA". Lineage: Eukaryota; Metazoa; Arthropoda; Insecta; Diptera; Tachinidae. The record is from RNAcentral.